AACGAACGCUGGCGGCAUGCCUAACACAUGCAAGUCGAACGAGACCUUCGGGUCUAGUGGCGCACGGGUGCGUAACGCGUGGGAAUCUGCCCUUGGGUUCGGAAUAACUCGCCGAAAGGCGUGCUAAUACCGGAUGAUGACGUAAGUCCAAAGAUUUAUCGCCCAAGGAUGAGCCCGCGUUGGAUUAGCUAGUUGGUGAGGUAAAGGCUCACCAAGGCGACGAUCCAUAGCUGGUCUGAGAGGAUGAUCAGCCACACUGGGACUGAGACACGGCCCAGAUUCCUACGGGAGGCAGCAGUGGGGAAUAUUGGACAAUGGGCGAAAGCCUGAUCCAGCAAUGCCGCGUGAGUGAUGAAGGCCUUAGGGUUGUAAAGCUCUUUUACCCGGGAUGAUAAUGACCGUACCGGGAGAAUAAGCUCCGGCUAACUCCGUG
This 433-nucleotide ribosomal RNA is filed under the name uncultured bacterium. Its description in RNAcentral is "partial 16S ribosomal RNA". It matches the Rfam family "Bacterial small subunit ribosomal RNA", at positions 29 to 507 of the family's 1533-position model. The record is from RNAcentral.